Molecule: long non-coding RNA, 395 nt
Organism: Dreissena polymorpha
Lineage: Eukaryota; Metazoa; Mollusca; Bivalvia; Myida; Dreissenidae
Exons: 3
Source: RefSeq, a predicted model, not a curated record
AAUUACUCUACCACGUCGUUUCGAACGUAUUUUCCACUGUUCUUAUUCAGAUAUGAGCCAAUAACAAAGAGCAGCUGCUCUUUUAAGGCAGGCAGCAUAUUUGUUGAAUGGCAACACAUGUGACAGGAGUACACAAUACCAGCACCUGCACCAGUAACCUCUGUCAGUAGCACUAGUGCUGCAAAGGCAAUUUUUCACCCGACAGUAAAAGGAGGCAUGGGUAUGCAAAUACAGGAACUGUGGCAGUGUCAGCACUGGACUAUUACACCCAGGUGUAAUCAGGUUCCUGGUUACAACUAAUGACCACCUGUUGAAGGAGCUAGACGUUACCAGGGAGAGACACCAGCACAAAGAUGAAUCAGAUUAACUGGAGCUACAAGCAUCUUAAGAAAACC